GAAUAACCUUAGCACGUGAUUGAUGACGUUGUUGGGAGUCAGGCAUAUGAGAAGCCGCCAUUGUUCCUUCUUUUCCUGUGUCGCAUAGUUUUUGCUUAUAGUUUGUAUCUGUGUGAAACCUGUGGAAUUUAUAAACAAAAACUCAAGAAAGCAAAUACUUUAUCCAACAUAAAUAAUAUCUUAUUUGGCGUACAAACAUUAAAAAUAGCCGAGUUCAUUGACAGAUUGUGGAAUGUCCACUAGCGUUGAUCAGCAUAUGAAAGCUCAAGGAAGUUCAGUUUCGAAUGGUCCGAAGGAUACGAUAAAGGAUGAAGAUUUUGAUUCCUGGCGAAAUCAGCCUCAGCAGGCAUACAAUGCACCAAUGCCUUCGACUAGUAUGGGUGAUCCCUACAUGCCUAGCUACUAUCCAUCUAUGUCCUUUCCCUACCUUAAUCAAGGUUUAGGUGAUGGUGCAUGGAGCAAUGGGGGAGAUCCAAUGACCUUCCUUGGUGGAUAUGGUGGACAGAUAGGAGGUGGUGAUCAACACUCUCAUUAUAUGGAUGGUAUGUUUGGUCAAAGUAGUUUCACUGGUUAUAGUCAAGGUUUCAACUUCUUUCAUGGUGGAAGUGGUGACUACUCAGCUUGGGGUAACUCGGGUAUGGGAGGACGUAAACCAGGGCCUGCUGGACAUGGCUAUCAUGAUGACUACUAUCGAGACACGUAUGAGCAAGUUGUUGACCGUGGGGUUCUGAAACAUGUUGAACAGGGGAUGGGAGGACUAUCCCUUAGUGACCAUAAAACAGAAAUGCAGUUCUCAAAAGAUGGAUAUCAUAAAUCAGGAGUAGCCCCUGGACCAGGGCCUUUAAUGACAGAUCAUCAAUUAGCAAAAAAAUUUAUAGCAUCCCCAGUGGAACAUCUUUCUAUGGUUGGCCCUGGACCAGGAGUUCCAGGACAACCAGUUGGUUCCAAGAAGAUGACCUGGGCAUCUAUUGCUAGCCAACCUGCCAAACCUCAACAAAGGUGUAAACCUAAGUGUAUUCCUCCAGCACCCAUGUUGCAAGGAAAACAUAAUACAUCCAGCAUGGACAUUGGUACAUGGGAAAGUAAAAAUGGCAAUGGACCUAUCAUUGGGGAGAAAAUGGGGCCACCACUUCCGCCUUCACAAACAAGAUCAGCCCCAUGGGGAAAUCCCCGUGUGGGGCGAAAUAAUGGACCAUCUGGACAUGGGUAUAUGACUCCUCCACAACAAACUCAGCAAAUUUUAGCUCAGAACCAACUGUCAGUUGGGGGAGAUGGAUUUCCUACUCAUCCAGUCCUCGAUAAACUCUGUAUGGAAAACAGUUACAACCCUAAAGAUUUUGAUAUGAAUCCUAAAAAUGCCAGGUUUUUCAUAAUAAAAUCAUAUUCUGAAGAUGAUAUACAUCGGUCCAUCAAGUACUCAAUCUGGUGUUCGACAGAACAUGGUAAUAAACGUUUGGAUGCUGCAUUUCAUGAGCGUGAAGGAAAGGGCCCAAUCUUUUUGUUCUUCAGUGUGAAUGGAUCAGGACAUUUCUGUGGAAUGGCUCAGAUGGUCUCACAGGUAGACUAUGGUGCAUCCUCAGGUGUCUGGGCUCAGGACAAAUGGAAGGGUCAGUUUAAGGUCAAAUGGAUCUAUGUCAAGGAUGUGCCGAAUUCACAACUCCGUCACAUCAAACUGGAAAACAAUGAAAACAAACCUGUAACAAACUCUCGUGACACUCAAGAAGUUCCCACUGAGAAGGGUAAACAAGUAUUGAAGAUUAUGCAUAACUUCAGACACUCCACAUCAAUCUUUGAUGAUUUUCUUCAUUAUGAAAAACGUCAAGAAGAAGAUGAACAGCGUAGGACCCAGUACUAGAUUGGAGCCAAUAAUUAAUAUUCACCUCAGCAAGGGAUGUUCUCAUGCUUUCCUCGAGGAAAUAGAGGACAACCGGAACAUUAACAUGUGCAUCCUGUAGUGGCUGUGAACUUCGUUCGAUGUUUUUAUCCAAUAUAUUGUGCUUGUAUGUGACAACGUGAAAUAUCCGUUCAGCAGCAACACUUGUGUUUUUUUUUUUUUUAACUUGCAACUAAAUAUCAUUGAUUGUUUCAACUGCCAGUCAAUUUUCUGCCCUUUUUGGAACAACUGCUGUAGUCCACUCUUUGAUGUUCUGUUAACCCUGCAUCUUAUUAGCUCGCUUUAUAUCGACCUAUGAGAUAUUUGUGCAUUGCAUCAGAUUAUUGGCAAAUGAUGGGUAUGGGAUUACAACUAAUUUUAGUCAUUAACCUUGUUUAUUGAAUUGGGACUCCUGUAGUCCCCGGAAGGUUUGGGACUGCUCCACUUGCCUAGCAAGGAAGCCUUGCACUUGUCAAAAAGUUUUAUUUGGUUCUAUCUAUAACUUCUACGAAGUACAAGAGCAUGAUGACAGCAACACUAGCAGCUCCAAACUUAAGCCUACAGUAUCAGACUUCUUAGGAUUUUCCUAAGUGUGUUGAUUAAUAAACAUGUUUUCAAAAUGAUUCCACCCCGUUGCUCCCCUGAACCUCCAUAUUACACUUGACUGAAUCAACUCAGCGAGAGGAAAGAUGGUAAACAGUGGCGUUUGGACUUCUCUCUGGACCUAAGAAACUCCCAAAACUAUUCAGACACAUUUAUUGUGACUCAAAAACUCUGUUAGUGGAAACCUAGUCCACUGUGCAAAUUAACAGCAAUCGUAUGUUAUUUAGAAGCUACUGCUGGAUUGAUGGUUGCUGUGGCAACAGCAAAAAGUUUUGAUCUAGGCAUAUUUAAUCCAUUCCGAGAGGCUGCUGUGUAGCUGUCUGCUUGAAGAAUGCAAAGUUUGUCAGCUAUACUUGAAAUAAAUAUACAUUGUUUGGUUUUAGAACUGACAUCAUUAAUUUUUGUUUUUCUUUUUACUUCUGGGCCCCAACAGUUAACUAUUGUAACAGGAUUUCAUUUGAUUGGUGUGUAUAUAUAUGUGCAUCUGUGACACCUGUGGAGUUUUAUUGUUUUUUUAUGUACUUGGUAGUACUGACACAACACAUUUGAUUUGGAUACCAGCAGAAAGUGUUAUUGAUCAUGACAUGAGAUUCAUAAAUCGUGUUUUUGAAACCUACGAUUUACUAUUAUAUCUUCUUAAUAUGCUAGAAAUAUACUAUUUGCAACUUUAAUUAUAUAUACAACUUUCUUAAGAUAUUUUAUUAUGCAGUGUAUGAUACUAUAUAUAUUGAAUUGGGUGACAAACAGCAAGAUAAAAAGUAUUUUUAUCCUUGAGACAAUUUUGAAAAAGUUAUUUUCCAUACCUGAUUAUUAUAGCAUUCUAGUGUGCAAAACCUUUACAAUAAAUAAACGUUCGUGAAAAUGGAUAAUUUCUUUCAAUGGAGACAAACUUUAUUUUGGUGUUUAUUACAAAAUUAUGUAAACUGACCCUGUUUUAAUAAUGUGUUCAGUGAUUUAUGUAUUAUAUCCAUAAAAUUUACCAAAAAGGGGUUUUGUAGGAAAUUGUAGAUACUAUUUUUUUUCCUUUAUCUGACAUAGCCUUUGUGUUCAUAAUAAAAAAAAAUAUACCAUUUAUUAAUCUAUAGAGAUUUACAAGUUAGAACUGGGAAAUUAUUUUAUUCUUUUAAUUCAAAAUAUGUUAGCUUGUGCAUUGAUUUUAUGUACUAUUUAGCAAUCUUAUAUUUUCUUUUUUAUAAAAACCAAUUAUUCUUUAUGAAUUAAAUAUUAUAAAGAACUAUGUUUGUGAAAUUAACACAAAUUUUUAUUGAUUGUACAUAGUGAAACUUUUAUUUAUUUUAUUCACAUUGUUUUGCCAGGUUUACCUAGCAUCAUCAGUUGCCACCUGGUGAAACAUUUUGAAUAAAAUAAACAAAAUUUUUGCUAUGUACAACCAAUAAAAACUUGUGUCGAAAAAGAGAAAGAUGUUUAACUAAGCAACUUUUGACUGCCUAACCCCGAGUUGAAAAAUUUAGAUAUUGUUGCAUCAACAGUUAUUCAUGAGUAAAGGUUUUGACAUUAGUUACAAACAGAAAACCCAAAACGUACUUAAUGAAGACAUAAAUAUUGUACUUAGAAAAACUCGAUGAAGAUUUGAUGCUAAGUUUUUGUCUGGAAAUAUUUUUUUAGCAUUGUUAUUUUUCACUUCCAGUAUCAGCUGUGAAACUAUGUAUACUUAUAAUCCACAUUGUUAAUCAUUUAAAAUAAGAUGCAUAUUUUGGUACAAAAGUUGUUUUUUUGCAGCACUUUAUCUGACAUGGAUUUUUUGUUUUUAAUUUUUAAAUAAUAGAAGGUAAACAAAUCUAGAAUAAGGAAACUUAGUUCUUAUUUUGCAAGAUAAAUAUUUUACUUUCAAGAUCUUGAGUUACUUUUGGGGGUGAGAAGGUGAAACAAACAUGUUGGUGGAUGCGACUCAACAUACAGUGAGUAUUGUUCGGUGUGUGAAAACUGUUUCAGAAUGGUGUAAUUUAUCUUGUGUAAAAAAAGAAAUCUUGGUUAUGGCUUAAAUGGUGGAAUAGCAGUUUUUUUAAUUUUAUAAGGACAUUGAAUGUGAAUUAAGUAUUUGAAACAUGAACCAUGCUGUUAAUUAACUUCAUAUAUAUGUGUAAUUUUUUUCUAUUUGUUUUGAAGUUUAUGCAUCUGUCACAUAAAUUAUGUUGUUAAGAAUGGAGAACUUUAAAAAAGAUCGUAAGAAAAAUCAAAGGAAAUACUAGAUUUUGUUGUAAUAAGAAAAGUGGCAGUUUGUUAUUUUAAUAUUUUGUUUUACGCAUGUAUGCUACACCAGUUUAUUUUGAUCAGGAGUUGUUUUUGGUUCUGGAUCAUUCACAGAGUUUAAAGGAAUGGGUACAGACUUUUGGUAAUACCUUUGCAACCCCCUAAUAUAUCUCUAAUGCAUAACUUAUAAUUAAUAUAACACUACUACUUCCAUUGCAUUUAAUAAAUUUGCUAGAAUUUUAUUUGGAUUAAUCAAUAUAAAUAAGUACACUUUUUUUUUCUCAUUUGUUGUUAUAAUUAUUUGACAGCUUAAAAGUUUUGGAUAAUUUUUGAAACUUACUAAUAAUGUAACCGUUCAAUGAAUUAUGAUAUGUGCUGGUGUUACGCCUGUAACAUAAAGAAACUGUUGUGGCCCAGAUGACUAAGAAAAAAAUAAAAUGAUUAAGAAUAGUGGAAGGAAUGUACAGCUAAUAAGUUUUUAAUUUAAAUAAGGGUUUUAGCAUCUACCUAAGAAGAAGAAUUUCAUUUGUGCCUAAAACAGGGAGAAGAAAAAAAAAGAUGAAAUAUAAAUGGACUUCAAUUUUAUUACUGUCACUGAACAAAAUUGUACAUUCCUUGUUCGUAUCCUCUGUUUAAUUAAGUAAGAGGUGAUAAACACUUUGACAAGUGUUUCUUCUGGAUGGGUAUUGUGGAAAAUGAUUUUAGCCUGGCUAAUAAAAUAAAGCAGAAUCA
Molecule: RNA transcript, 5419 nt
Organism: Limulus polyphemus (Atlantic horseshoe crab)
Lineage: Eukaryota; Metazoa; Arthropoda; Merostomata; Xiphosura; Limulidae
Gene name: YTH domain-containing family protein 3-like
Exons: 6
Source: RefSeq, a predicted model, not a curated record